UGGCCAGCAACACCUAUCCCUACCUCCUCGCGGUACUGGCCGGGGUACGAGUAACCUUAGGGAAGAACGGGCAAUCAACCCCUGUGGGAACUCUGGUCGUAUGCUGACCAGGAAGG
Molecule: non-coding RNA, 116 nt
Organism: Aedes aegypti (yellow fever mosquito)
Lineage: Eukaryota; Metazoa; Arthropoda; Insecta; Diptera; Culicidae
Source: Rfam